AACCAUUUAUCACUAUCUCGUCUAUGUUUUUUAUUGAUUAUUUUUUGAUGGCGAGCAUUUUUAAGAUUUUUAUCAUUUGUACACUUUGUAAAUCGAACGGAGGUCAGCAUUAAGAUAAAUUUUGGUGUUUUAUUAAAUCAACAAUAAUACGUGUGAAAAGUAAUACAACCAUGGAGGAAGGCCAUUCAGGUAACAUCAGUCGUAUGAAUUUAUGUAAACGUUUUCUUAAGAAUGGAUUCAAUGGAAAAUCGGAAGCUGAAAUUUUGGAAGAAAUUACCCUAUAUCUAACAAAUUAUUGUGAUAUUUACAACACGGAGCAAGAAUCCGCUAAGAAAAUACUCAAAUCAUUCAUUCAAAAAUGGACCAAAAGAUGGAGAGAUUCAUCUUAUUCUUGGCAAAAAUUUAGUUUGAAAAAUGCUGAUUGGUUAGAAAAAAUGUUUUCAGUGACUUAGCUAUAGACGAAAAUUCGCAAUGCACUGGGGAAUCGGAACCCGGUCCAUCAAAAAGAAAAUGUUUUUCCGAUUUAUCCAAAUCUCAAAAAGACAGAACUACGAAAGACGUCAGAGAUAAUUAUACUUCAGACAUCCUUGC
Molecule: long non-coding RNA, 591 nt
Organism: Sitophilus oryzae (rice weevil)
Lineage: Eukaryota; Metazoa; Arthropoda; Insecta; Coleoptera; Curculionidae
Exons: 3
Source: RefSeq, a predicted model, not a curated record